Molecule: ribosomal RNA, 381 nt
Filed under: uncultured eukaryote
Lineage: Eukaryota
Description: partial 18S ribosomal RNA
Rfam family: Eukaryotic small subunit ribosomal RNA
Source: RNAcentral
CAAUAGCGUAUAUUAAAGCUGUUGCGGUUAAAAAGCUCGUAGUUGGAUUUCUGUCAAGGACAACUGGUCCGCCCUCCGGGUGAGCACAUAGUUUGGUCUUGGCAUCUUGCUGGAAACUGUUGCUGCGCUUGGUUGUGUGGUGCAGCUUUCAGCACUUUCACUUUGAGGAAAUUGGAGUGUUUCAAGCAGGCACAUGCCUUUGGACACAGUAGCAUGGAAUAAUUAGAUUGGGCUUUUGCUCCAACUUGUUGGUUCCUGGAGCUGAGGUGAGAAUCAAUGGGGAUUGUUGGGGGCAUCCGAAUUUAGCCGUCAGUGGUGAAAUUCUUGGAUCUGCUAAAGACGGACAACUGCGAAAGCGUUUGCCCAGGAUGUUUUCAUUGA